GAGGGUAUAGCUCAGUGGAAAAGCGCCUGCUUAGCAUGCACAAGGUCCUGCGUUCAAUCCCCAGUACCUCCA
Molecule: transfer RNA, 72 nt
Filed under: Camelus bactrianus (Bactrian camel)
Lineage: Eukaryota; Metazoa; Chordata; Mammalia; Artiodactyla; Camelidae
Also listed under: 1 other name
Rfam family: tRNA
About the family: Transfer RNA (tRNA) molecules are approximately 80 nucleotides in length. Their secondary structure includes four short double-helical elements and three loops (D, anti-codon, and T loops).
Source: Rfam by way of RNAcentral